UGCCCUGAGGAUAACACUCCAGUAAAACUGAGCUCUGAGGCAUCUUUUCAGAAACCUGAGAAAUGAGAGAAUUUAACCAAAGGCGAACUUAAAAAAUUUUUUUAACGUUUAUUUAUUUUUGAAAGAGAGAGACAGAGACACAGAGAGACAGAGAGUGAGCUGAGGAUGGGCAGAGAGAGAGAGGGAGACACAGAAUCCAGAGCAGGUUUCAGGCUCCGAGCUGUCUGCACAGAGCCAGAUGCAGGGCUGGAACUCCUGAACCACGAGAUCAUGACCUGAGCUGAAGUCGGAUACUUAACCGAUUGAGCCACCUGGGUGCCCCAAACUUCUAAAGUUGUCUAAAGGAGAGUGGCUUCUGCGACGUUUGUCCAUCUGCGUGCAAUGCCAUCAUCGCGGAUCUGGGCGUGCCUGUUUGAGAGAAGGAGCUUGCUAGAAGCUGUGUAACAGACGAAGAAUUCAAAGUAGCCGAGGCAAUCCUGGAGGAAAGAGGUAGGGAGGCCAGAGAGGGGAGGAAGAGGGAGGAGGCUGUCAAGGAGACAGAAGCCUGUGAAGCUGGGUUCUGACUCCUGUCUGGGAACCAUAUCCCUCCACCAGAAGAUCCCACCCAUCGGGGUGCUUUAAAAUGUUUUUAAGUUGUUUAAAAGUGUGUUUGUUUGCUUAGAGAGAGCAAGCGGGGGAGGGACAGAGGGAGAGGCAGAGGGAGAGAAUCCCAAGCCAGCAGGUUCUGAACUAUCGGCGCAGAACCCGAGGCGGGGCUGGAAUUCACAAACCUGGAGAUCACGACCUGAGCUGAAGUCGGUUGCUUAACCGACUGAGCCGCCCAGACAUCCCAGAAAUAGGUUUCUUCUAAAUGGAGGUAAACAUUUAUCGGAAUCCUCGCUGCAAGGGAUGCAGAUGGCUAGUGUUCGAGACCUUCAUCUGCGGCGCAGGAGGAAAGGCAGUUACUGGGUUGAAUAACAAGUACCCGAAACGUCUUUGGCGUAUAGACAACGGCAUCCACACGUGUACUCGUCUGUCCACGAAGACCUGCGCAUUUACGUGCGUAGAAGUGAGGAGAUUCAAUACGUGGAUUCAGAGGAGUAUGUUUGGCUGGGUCUCUGCAUGUCUAGGCAAUGCCUGCCUGAAAACUGCCUUCUUAUGGAGAGGCUCAGUCCUUGGCCAGAUGGAGCUCUCGUCCAGCGAGUGAACCCCAAUCAUCAAUAACAGCUGUGGGCCCCAGGAGCUCCCUGCAAAAGCAGAAAUACCAGCUGAUAUGAGAAACUUCCCACUGACCGCCGUGAAAGCAAGAAAAACGAAACUGGAGUGUGAAGGUGGGGCUAAACUAUUUCUCUUACAUAUUAUUAGCAAUAACAUCAUUGUUUGAACAGGGCUUUGGAAUUGAUAAAGUGCUCUUUAUUGUAUCAUCUCGUUCAUUUGUCUUCCAAUUUGCAGAUGGAGAAACUGCUCUGCGACAGGCCACGACAGCAUCUGGAACCUUCUGUGAUCAGCUGCCAGUAUCCUUUAAUGAGAACUCGUGUGUUCCUUGAUAUCUCUCUGGGAGCAUCUCAAGGUAAGUAAGGACCUUGUGGCGGUCAGCUGGAUGACCCCUAGCUGAGUGACUGUAAUUGUUCUGACCGUUAUGGGCUCACAAACCCUUUUUUUUUUUUUUUUUAGAGAAAGGAGAUGUUCGCCAAGAUGGGAUUUUCCCAAAAGAAUUCUUUAGAAAAAGUGCCAGAACUUUUACCUUCCACCUUGACAGUCCCCAGAGACAAACUGAAAGGACCUCGCUUAAAUGCCUCAUCCGAAGGGUAUUUGCAAUGCUGGCUUCAUCAUUCAAAGCAGGAAAGGCCUUUGUCAUGGUCAAAUGGCUUUAAUGUGUUCUGAAUGCUACAUAAAUUCAAAGUUGAUGGCUCAUUUAUUUGUUGGAUUGAAGUUUUAUACAAUAAACUAAGCCUUGGUAUUUACUAAUAACUUGUG
Molecule: long non-coding RNA, 1956 nt
Filed under: Felis catus (domestic cat)
Lineage: Eukaryota; Metazoa; Chordata; Mammalia; Carnivora; Felidae
Description: lncRNA (ENSFCAG00000048318.1)
Source: RNAcentral